AAGACUUUUCCAGCUUCCGACCUUGUGUGGCAUCUCUCUGAACCCCCUCGACCGUCCGAGUUUUCAUGAUACCAUCCGGACUUCUCCGAUAAUGAGCUUCUCCAUUCAUCUACCGAGCCGCUCCAAAGGCUCUCUGGGCUUCACUAUCAAUCGAUCUUCUGUAGUGAUCAACUAUUCUCUGAAUCUCUUCCAGACUUCUUCCGACCACGAACGAUCCUACUCUGAACUCCUACAGCAAGCAGUCUACUCUAAACUUCUACAGCAAGCAGUCUACUCCGAACUCCUAUUGCAGGUGGUCUACUUCGGAUAUCUACUCCGGAUCCCGGACGAGCUUCUACAAUGGGACAGGCUCCACCGGUC
This 360-nucleotide long non-coding RNA is filed under the name Elaeis guineensis (African oil palm). RNAcentral describes it as "long non-coding RNA (EGUI_LNC067822)". The record is from RNAcentral. Lineage: Eukaryota; Viridiplantae; Streptophyta; Magnoliopsida; Arecales; Arecaceae.